RNAcentral lists this ribosomal RNA (546 nucleotides) under uncultured fungus. RNAcentral describes it as "eukaryotic LSU rRNA". The stretch from base 226 to 379 matches the Rfam family "5.8S ribosomal RNA". The record is from RNAcentral. Lineage: Eukaryota; Fungi.
CAUUAAAAAAAAAAAGUUGUGCGAGGCGGUCCCAGGCAUUGCCAGGUGGCCGCUUAGACAUCAACACCCUCUGUAUAUCUACCGCGUUGCUUUGGCGGGACGGCAGCCAACAGCUCUGCUGGGAGGCUGUCCGCAGGGCCUCUCAAGACCCCGCGAGUGCCCGCCAGAGGACCACCGAACUCAAUGUUAAACCAUGAUGUCUGAGCUUUACAAGCAAUAAGUUAAAACUUUCAACAACGGAUCUCUUGGUUCUCGCAUCGAUGAAGAACGCAGCGAAAUGCGAUAAGUAAUGUGAAUUGCAGAAUUCAGUGAAUCAUCGAAUCUUUGAACGCAUAUUGCGCCCCUUGGUAUUCCGAGGGGCAUGCCUUUUCGAGCGUCAUUACAACCUUCAAGCUCUGCUUGGUAUUGGGCCUCCGUCCCCACGCGGGCGGGCCUUAAAGUCAUCAGCGGCUGAGCGCACAGCUUCUAGCGUAGUAGAAAUUAACUCGCUGGGGGAGCUGGCGUCAGGUAGCUGUCAAACACGCGCUUCGCGCACAUCUUAGGUUG